Molecule: ribosomal RNA, 419 nt
Filed under: bacterium
Lineage: Bacteria
Description: partial 16S ribosomal RNA
Rfam family: Bacterial small subunit ribosomal RNA
Source: RNAcentral
UGGGGGAUAUAGCACAAUGGGCGAAAGCCUGAUGCAGCGACGCCGCGUGGGGGAUGAAGGCCUUCGGGUUGUAAACUUCUUUUGCUCUGAACAAGGCGCACCAUGGGGUGUGUUGAGUGUAGGGGUUGAUUAGCGCCGGCUAACUACGUGCCAGCAGCCGCGGUAAUACGUAGGGCGCGAGCGUUGUCCGGAAUUAUUGGGCGUAAAGGGCUUGUAGGUGGCUGGUUGCGUCUGUCGUGAAAGCUCAUGGCUUAACUGUGGGUUUGCGGUGGGUACGGGCUGGCUUGAGUGCAGUAGGGGAGGCUGGAAUUCCUGGUGUAGCGGUGGAAUGCGCAGAUAUCAGGAGGAAUACCGGUGGCGAAGGCGGGUCUCUGGGCUGUUACUGACACUGAGGAGCGAAAGCAUGGGGAGCGAACAGG